AUUGAACGCUGGCGGCAGGCCUAACACAUGCAAGUCGAACGAGUGGCGGACGGGUGAGUAAUGGCUGGGAAACUGCCCGAUGGAGGGGGAUAACUACUGGAAACGGUAGCUAAUACCGCAUACCAGCGGAUGUGCCCAGAUGGGAUUAGCUAGUAGGGGGGGUAACGGCUCACCUAGGCGACGAUCCCUAGCUGGUCUGAGAGGAUGACCAGCCACACUGGAACUGAGACACGGUCCAGACUCCUACGGGAGGCAGCAGUGGGGAAUAUUGCACAAUGGGCGCAAGCCUGAUUCAGCCAUGCCGCGUGUAUGAAGAAGGCCUUCGGGUUGUAAAGUACUUUCAGCGAGGAGGCGUUACUCGCAGAAGAAGCCCCGGCUAACUCCGUGCCAGCCGCCGCGGUAAUUC
This 406-nucleotide ribosomal RNA is filed under the name uncultured bacterium. RNAcentral describes it as "partial 16S ribosomal RNA". It matches the Rfam family "Bacterial small subunit ribosomal RNA", at positions 30 to 526 of the family's 1533-position model. The record is from RNAcentral.